RNAcentral lists this ribosomal RNA (492 nucleotides) under uncultured bacterium. Its description in RNAcentral is "partial 16S ribosomal RNA". It matches the Rfam family "Bacterial small subunit ribosomal RNA", at positions 29 to 507 of the family's 1533-position model. The record is from RNAcentral.
AGUGAACGCUGGCGGUAGGCCUAACACAUGCAAGUCGAACGGCAGCACAGUAAGAGCUUGCUCUUACGGGUGGCGAGUGGCGGACGGGUGAGGAAUACAUCGGAAUCUACUUUUUCGUGGGGGAUAACGUAGGGAAACUUACGCUAAUACCGCAUACGUCCUACGGGUGAAAGCAGGGGAUCUUCGGACCUUGCGCGAUUGAAUGAGCCGAUGUCGGAUUAGCUAGUUGGCGGGGUAAAGGCCCACCAAGGCGACGAUCCGUAGCUGGUCUGAGAGGAUGAUCAGCCACACUGGAACUGAGACACGGUCCAGACUCCUACGGGAGGCAGCAGUGGGGAAUAUUGGACAAUGGGCGCAAGCCUGAUCCAGCCAUGCCGCGUGGGUGAAGAAGGCCUUCGGGUUGUAAAGCCCUUUUGUUGGGAAAGAAAAGCAGCAGGUUAAUACCCCGCUGUUCUGACGGUACCCAAAGAAUAAGCACCGGCUAACUUCGUG